RNAcentral lists this unclassified non-coding RNA (223 nucleotides) under plant metagenome. RNAcentral describes it as "partial contains small subunit ribosomal RNA, internal transcribed spacer 1, and 5.8S ribosomal RNA". The record is from RNAcentral.
UUUCCGUAGGUGAACCUGCGGAAGGAUCAUUAAAGAGAAUAUGCCCUACGGGGUAGAUCUCCCACCCUUUGUUUAUAUUACCUUUGUUGCUUUGGCAGGCCCGUCUUCGGACCACCGGCUUCGGCUGGUCAAUGCUUGCCAGAGGACCCAAAACUCUUAUUAUUAAUGUCGUCUGAGUACUAUAUAAUAGUUAAAACUUUCAACAACGGAUCUCUUGGUUCUG